Molecule: ribosomal RNA, 460 nt
Filed under: uncultured bacterium
Lineage: Bacteria
Description: partial 16S ribosomal RNA
Rfam family: Bacterial small subunit ribosomal RNA
Source: RNAcentral
CCUACGGGGGGCAGCAGUGAGGAAUAUUGGUCAAUGGGCGAGAGCCUGAACCAGCCAAGUCGCGUGAGGGACGACGGUCCUAUGGAUUGUAAACCUCUUUUGUCGGGGAACAAAGGCGCCCACGGGUGGGCGGAUGAGUGUACCCGAAGAAAAAGAAUCGGCUAAUUCCGUGCCAGCAGCCGCGGUAAUACGGAAGGUCCGGGCGUUAUCCGGAUUUAUUGGGUUUAAAGGGAGCGUAGGCCGCAUGUCAAGCGUGCUGUGAAAUGUCCGGGCUCAACCCGGGCCUUGCAGCGCGAACUGGCGUGCUUGAGUGCGCGGAAAGCAGGCGGAAUUCGUGGUGUAGCGGUGAAAUGCUUAGAUAUGACGAAGAACCCCGAUUGCGAAGGCAGCUGGCUGCAGCGGAACUGACGCUGAUGCUCGAAAGCGCGGGUAUCGAACAGGAUUAGAUACCCUUGUAGUC